Molecule: long non-coding RNA, 752 nt
Organism: Armigeres subalbatus
Lineage: Eukaryota; Metazoa; Arthropoda; Insecta; Diptera; Culicidae
Exons: 2
Source: RefSeq, a predicted model, not a curated record
UUUUCUUUUCCGUUUUCAAUAAUUAAAUUAUUUUGGUUUGCGUUUUUAAUUUUAUUGAUCUGUUUAUUUACACUAUGCAUCAGGUCAAGGAAAAAGUGUUGGAAAUUUACAGCCAUCUCCUCACGGCGUAUGUCCGACAUUCCCGCUUCACUUCCAUUGGCAGCAUAUUCCAACACGAUGGUCCAUACACUAGCACACUUUUCCUGCUAUAGAUGUACUAGAGAUGUUGAAACCUCUUGUGCUUUCCAGCUGCGAUCGUAUCCGGGUAGUGUUCCGUCGAUAGGAUUUUUCAUAAAGCCACAAAUCCGGAAUCGGUAUAGUUGUGCGGUAGAUCGUGCCCAAGAAUUUCUUUCCGUUAUGCUGCAGUCGUGUCUCGAUGACGAAGGCGGUGGAUGAAACGGAUAGCUGACGAUGGAGGUGCUCUUUAAGCGCAGCAGACAGACCCGGGUAGUAUACAUUACAUAGCAGCAGGUGAAGAAUGGCACUAUUACGGCUUGCACUAGCUUUCGUUUUGUUUGUAUCGAGAGCACAGAGACAAAUCGCCUGAAUGUCCUCAGAGUGUUAUACAUCUUCUUCACCACGUCAUUCACCUGCUGUGCCCAACUUAAUUUGCAGUCGAGUUGCAAGCCAAGGUUUGUUACACUGUAACUUAGUGGAAUCCUUGAACCACUGAAAAAGAUGUUCUCAUCCGGAACAACUGUUCCUGACUUACAGAAAAUAAACGCUUGAAAAAUCGACGAGCACCAAGACAA